Molecule: RNA transcript, 5323 nt
Organism: Onthophagus taurus
Lineage: Eukaryota; Metazoa; Arthropoda; Insecta; Coleoptera; Scarabaeidae
Gene: DopEcR
Gene name: G-protein coupled receptor DopEcR
Source: RefSeq, a predicted model, not a curated record
UCAGUACCCCUGGCGGAAGUGUCGUUAAACAACGCGUCGUCAACUUCACAACCACGACUCUCCGACACAUUACCACAAAUUUCAAGCAAAAAGACGAAAAUAUUCAUAAAACGUAAUUUUUAAGGAAGUAAUGUAAUUUCGAAAUUGUAAAAAAAACCAACAAAAUUAGUAAGAAAACUUAAUUGAUUUUGUUGAACAAAAGACGGAUACGUUUUAAAAUCCUCACUUCAAAGGAUAAAAAGCUGUCGUUGGAGGGUUUCUGAAGAUUUUUCGGUGAUGUCAUAAUCGUAUUAACUGCGAGACGAAGAGUGCGAGGCGUCCGGAUUUUGGGGAUUCCGUGAUAAUUUCCAAAACGAAUUGACUAGACACAAGAUAACGGUUUACAGAUUGAUAAAUGGCAAUGGACCAGCACAAUUUGGUGCUGUGUCGAAGGUGAUCACCGUGCGGUUAUGGGGCCAAGGCUUCAAAGUCGUGGCCCUGCAUCAAAAUCGUCAUCAAAGUCACCAUCAGAUCCAUCGUCAAAGUCGCCACCAUAGGAAACCGUACCAGCGAGAUCGUGAUCAUGAUUCAUCCGCGGGACACCUCGACGAUGAUCGCUUUCGGCGGUUCAGAAGACGAGGUCAUCUUCUCGCUGGAAUCGCUCACGCAAGCAGCCAUAAUAUUUAUUAUGGGUGUGGCGAUCAUCGUUGCGAAUGUCCUAGUCAUUGCUACUUUUGUCAACUAUAGAGGCCAAACUGAUGUCAUCAACUGUUACCUACUAUCAUUAUCCGUCGCGGAUUUACUCUGUGGUUUAUUGGUCGUUCCACUUUCCGUAUAUCCAGCACUAGUUCAACAAUGGGUUUAUGGAAAUGUUGUAUGCCGUAUAGUUGGUUACGUAGAAGUAACGCUUUGGGCGGUAACCGUUUACACCUUUAUGUGGAUAAGUGUGGAUCGAUACUUGGCAGUGAGGAAACCACUUCGAUACGAAACCAUUCAAACCAAAACUAGAUGUCAAUGUUGGAUGGCUUUCACAUGGAUUUCCGCAGCGAUGAUGUGCUGUCCGCCACUAUUAGGUUUCAACGAACCAAAUUUCGACAAAGAAUCCUACAUCUGCAUGUUAAACUGGGGAAAUAUGGCGGCUUAUUCGAUCACUUUGGGGAUUUUGAUCUUAGGUCCCAGUUUGAUUACGAUCAUUUAUACUUACACCUACAUUUUUAAUAUGAUGAGGAAACUGAAAAGCGGGGUUCCAAUCCACGAUAAAGAAUACGCGACGGCGUUGUCGGAGAAUCUGUCGAAUCCGAGUCAUAUUAUGUCGUUUGUACUCGUCGCUGUAUUUUGGAUUUCGUGGACACCGUUUGUUGGGGUCAAAUUGUACGAGUACUUUACUGGUGUUAAGUUCCAAAUGCCGUUCCUUCAUUUUGGUAUUGUUUGGAUUGGAUUUAUGAACUCGUUGUGGAAGUCGUUAAUUUUGAUUUUUUUGAGUCCCCAAUUUCGACUCGCUCUAAGGAUUUUCUGUAUGACGAUUUGUUGUCGAUAUAAAGGACGUAUGCAAGCUGAACUUAUAGAUUUUGGUCGACGUUUUCAUUAAUAAAAAUGGUAUUAAAAAAUUGAUGCCUUAUUUGUAACAAUAAGUAUUAAAGGUAUGGAAGCAGACGACUGACUACCCUUUCCUUUUGGUGGAUGUUUUCCAUCGACCCGAUUUCCUAUAACUGGACUCUUUGUCAGAGACUACGAGUAUAUAAUGGCCAAGAUCCGUCGACUGUAUAACUACUGAAUUAAACAAAACAAAAAAUAAAAUAAAAGAAUAAAAAACUAAUUUAACAAAGCUUACGAAAACAGAAAAUUUAAAAACAUCAAUUGAUAAAACCGUUGUUAUGACUAGAGUUUAUCGUCGUAGCUUAGAUCGUAAAGACAAAAGCAGUCAAUUAUAGUUAUUACAUUCAUAUAUUUGUAUAUUAAUUAAUUUAAUGAUGAAAUUCUCGAUAAAGUAAAAUGAUUAUAUAAUUACUAUUUAGUGAUUUUAGCAGCGCAUUUUACCUCGGAUAUAAAAUCAAAGUGACUAAAAGUAAAAUCAAAAAGUUUUUUAAAGUACAAAUUUUUUCGUUAAGAUCUUAAUCAUCUAUUUUUCCAAAAUCUGAUUACUUUAGUGAUUAUUUUUUUAAUACUGCAUAGGAUAACACCAAUACACACAUCUUUGGUAACUUAAUCAUUUUACUAAUCUUACUUAAAAUUUUAUUAAUUAAUUAAUUACGUGCAUUUAAUGUGAUACCUCUCAAAUGAACAAUAAAUUAUCAGGUCGUUAACAUACGUGUUGCUUAUAUCUUUUUCUUUAAUGUUUAAAUAAUAGAUUUUUCUUCAUCUUUAAGUUAGUUGCUUUUAAUAGACUACUAACCAUGUAUCGUUGCCAAAGAUGAAAUUAUACAUUCCAAUCAAAAAAAAGUAAAACUAAAAACUAUAUAUUCGCAUUUAUUGUACAAUUUAAUGUUAUAGAUGUGAAACAAUAUGGAUAUCAACGAAACCUUUUUAUAAGUGUAAUUUACGAAUUUAGAUCUGUAAGUGAAAAAAAAAUUUUAAUGUUACUAUUAUUGUUGCAGUGUGAGAUGAAGGAUAAAUGAUGAUGUGUUAUGAUUUGGAAAUGAAUAGGAAAUUUAAACAAUCUUUUUAUUCACUAAGAAUUUAUUAUUUUAUCAAAGCUUUAAUACCAGCUGCUAUGGGAAGACCUACUUGAGCUCCUUUUACUGCACCAUUACCCUUCAAAAAGAAAUUUAAACUAAAAUCGGUUAUAAUUUUUGAACAUAAAAAGGGAAAAGUAUAAUUAUGUUAAUUUUAGGCUGAUUACGAAUUUUUUUCAACACUCAAUUUUCUCUUAUUUUUAUAAGGCAUCAAUACAUUAACAAGAUUUAGAUAAACCACAAUAUUUAUCAUGGUUAGAAACAACGUUUGUUUAAUUUAUUUCUUCUUCUUCUCUUUGUUGGGAAAUGUGUACAUACUCCAAGAAAAGUGGUAAAAAAAGUAAAUAGAACGAACUCUAUUAAAUAAAAAAUAUUAAAUGGUAUGGUCAACACUCAACUUUCUCACAUUGAUGAUAAAUUAGCAACCUUUUCUGAUAAAAAAUACAUUUGUUGCAAGUUUAGUUAAUGUGGAAGACUAAGUCACAUGGAGAGCUGGUUUCCGAAAUAUAAGAACUCUAAAUGAAAGAAUGAUAGAUGAUUAUUAAUUAUGGGGAGCGGAUUUCCCCUAUUCUAUAUAUUUAUAACUUCAAUGCUCAUGUUUCUAAAUUUGUUAGGCAGUUGUGCAUUGUACUCACUUUUACCAAAAUCGAAGGAAAACUUGGAUACUUUUUAAAUUAUCACUUAGAAAACAAUCAAGUUUAGCAUUGAUUAAAUUCGAAAUGACCUUCCAGUUGUUUGAGGUUGGGUUAGGAUUAGAUUUAUGAGUUGGAUAUGACCAGUGUUAAGUUAGAUUGUUAUUAAAAGGAAUUAUAAAUGGGUGAGGUUUGACUGGAAUUAGAUUGAUUCCUUUCAGAGUAAAUUUCUGAAUACCAAAUAAAAUAAUUAGAAAAAUUAAGUGGUUUGUAGUCAUGAUUAGAAAAAUUCAUUACAAAACCAUUUCUUCUAAAUCAAUGCUAAUUCAUCAUUGUUAGUUUUUACUGGGUUCAUCUUUAGAUCUGCCUCACAUGACGUAAUCCAACCUCAUAGCAAAUGUUCUGUCGAUUUUUUGGUAACUACUUUUAUGUUGUCUUGGUAAAAAUGUGUUUUGUUAGUGUGGUAUGUAUGUUCUGGCCAACAUUGCUUUUCUAUAAAAGAACAUAGUCUGAGGCUUUUAGAGGUAUUAAGAAGAAAUCGCCAAUUAGUUGCAUUUUACUAAGUGAUAUCUCUCUCUCUACAUAAGACUUAAAUUUAACACAUAUAGAGAAUAAAACAAAAUACAAAGUCAAUCCAAUCCGAUAUUUCGCAAUUUUGAACAAUAUACAUUCAAUGGUUGUCUCUGCAUAAGCCGUGCUUUGGUCGAAUCCUGUUAGCAGUUUUCCAGAUGCGGCAGGGAAGUCAAAAUCAAUUGACUUGCUGAUGUGUUCACGUGUCGGUUUAUUUCCGGGGCUUAUUUCCCCAAUUCCGUUCUAUGUUAAAGUUCUCAUUGAGUAGAGUCUUAGCUGUCUUAUAGUCUACAGCAGGGUUGGGUUGGGUCUAAAUUUGAUCAUGGUGCAUGAAGCUGCUUGAGCUUUGGAAUGUAACUGAGCGUAGAAAGCCAGUGUAUGGGAGCAGUUUUUCUGCAGCCAGUGAUUGUUCGCAUGGUGAAAUUUAUGAUGAGCAGUAUUCGGCAAACUGUAAAAAUCCUAGAGCCGAGUACCGCAGGGUUGAAGCUGUUCUGGGUUCUAUCCAAGAUCACACCUAGGUACUGUGGAGUUGGUUUGUGCGCCACAGGGUGACCACCAAAUUGAAUGUCUAGUUGAUGUGACCUGUUUGUUAUUCUUAGUGAGACCUAAAUCAUACACUGAAUCAUUCAAUUUUGAUAAAAUGAAUUUCUUAAGGACACAUGACUCUUCCAUAUCAAAUCACGAGUUCAAAUUUAUUCUGCAACUUGUUCAUCUUCAGAUAUGCCUCAUAUUUCCAAUCAACCUUUGCGAUGUCCGGGUACAGAUAGUGGUUAGUUAGUGUGCUCUGUAUGUUCUGGUCAAUAUAUUGAAGCUUUGUUCUUUUAAAAGCUCGUCACUCUAGUAUGCACAUAGAAUUCUAAAGCAACUCCAAUUUAACUAGAUUUAGAAUAGAUCUUACAAAUAGAUCUCAAAUCAUCUUUAAACUGUCAUGAAAAGGUUCUUAAAUAAUUCCUAAAAAUACUUUUGUAUGAAAUAAAUAAACUUUUCUUGAAAAUCUGAGAAAAAAUUCGUAAUAAGUAUCUAAAAUAAACUUGAAAAUACUUUUUCUCAACUCGUGCUCAAGGAUGAAACUUUGUACUUGUAUUAUUAAAAAGAUCUUUUUAGUUUACUCACAAUUUUUUUCCAAUUUACUUUCUUUUUCUUCUUACAAUAAACAAUAUUAUUAAUCAUUGCUAUUACAAAUAAUAUUAAUAACAAGACAUUAAAAAUUUUCAUCUUAACAAUUAAACAAUACACUUGAUAAUAACAAUAUGGUUAUUAAGAGUACGUAAAAAAUCAGUUAAAAAAGCACUGCAAAAAAUAAUUAAACAGUCCUAUCAGGUAAUAAUAAAUACAAUUAGAUGUUGUAUAAUUUAUUUAAAAAAAAUACAAAUUUGGGACUUCAACCGAAACUUAUAUUGCUCAAUUUGUUUUUGCUGUUCGUAAAAGGGCGUGCAAAUUAGUUGUAAUAGUACAGUAGAGAAUAAAAAA